Molecule: non-coding RNA, 277 nt
Organism: Ailuropoda melanoleuca (giant panda)
Lineage: Eukaryota; Metazoa; Chordata; Mammalia; Carnivora; Ursidae
Source: Rfam
UGGUAUGAGGAUGGUUUGGCAGUGAAAUCUGUCACUUCACUGAUCUAUCAGGGUUGAUUCAGUUAAUUUUUAUGACAAGGUGGAUAUGACCUUCCUCUCACCUUUUCCUCCAUGUUCAUCUCCUAACAGAGUAGGACUGUCCUUGGGUUAAGUGAAUAUGUUUCAUGAUGGCAUCACUAUAAGUAUUAGAAUGUUUCUUCACACUUAGAAUUGUGAUGUGAACACAUCUGCAGAGCUACCUCAUAAGAGGGUGGGGGGAAUCCUCUUCUCUCUUUUC